This 23-nucleotide microRNA is filed under the name Gallus gallus (chicken). RNAcentral describes it as "gga-miR-12245-5p". Lineage: Eukaryota; Metazoa; Chordata; Aves; Galliformes; Phasianidae. The record is from miRBase by way of RNAcentral.
AGGGGCCGCGAUGGGAGGGGGUU